GGAUGUGAAGGCAGCCCCACUGUGACAUGUCUCAUCCCACUGACUUCCAGGGUUCAUUUGGAUGAACUGGCUGGCUUGGCUGGCUAGGCAGGUGUCUCUUUCCUCCCUUACUGCUCCAUGUGCAUCUCUCGAAGUGUGCACUCGGACUAGGAGAAUGGCCUUUCCUCACAGAGGAGAGCCAUUCUUCAAUCAAGAGCAUGUGGAUAUUUGAAGUCCCCUGCUAGAGCCUCCAGACAAGCUCUCAGAAAGGGAAGAAGGGCUGGAGAGGUGUCUUAGUAGUUAAGAACAUUUGUGCACAGUCAUUAGGACCAGAGU
This 315-nucleotide small nuclear RNA is filed under the name Mus spicilegus (steppe mouse). Its description in RNAcentral is "7SK RNA (ENSMSIG00000011175.1)". It matches the Rfam family "7SK RNA". Rfam says of the family: 7SK was discovered as an abundant small nuclear RNA in the mid-70s but a possible function has only recently been suggested. Two independent studies have found that 7SK RNA binds the CDK9/cyclin T complex (known as elongation factor P-TEFb). Lineage: Eukaryota; Metazoa; Chordata; Mammalia; Rodentia; Muridae. The record is from Rfam by way of RNAcentral.